CCUACGGGAGGCAGCAGUGAGGAAUAUUGGUCAAUGGGCGGGAGCCUGAACCAGCCAAGUCGCGUGAGGGAAGACGGUCCUAUGGAUUGUAAACCUCUUUAGGCGGGGAGCAAUGCCGGGCACGCGUGCCCGGAGGGAGAGUACCCGCAGAAUAAGCAUCGGCUAACUCCGUGCCAGCCGCCGCGGUAAUACGGAGGAUGCGAGCGUUAUCCGGAUUUAUUGGGUUUAAGGGGUGCGUAGGCGGAUUUUUCAGUCAGCGGUAAAAUGUCCGGGCUCAACCCGGGCCGGCCGUUGAAACUGGGGAUCUUGAGUGGGCGAGAAGUAUGCGGAAUGCGUGGUGUAGCGGUGAAAUGCAUAGAUAUCACGCAGAACUCCGAUUGCGAAGGCAGCAUACCGGCGCCCGACUGACGCUGAGGCACGAAAGCGUGGGGAUCGAACAGGAUUAGAUACCCUGGUAGUC
Molecule: ribosomal RNA, 460 nt
Filed under: uncultured bacterium
Lineage: Bacteria
Description: partial 16S ribosomal RNA
Rfam family: Bacterial small subunit ribosomal RNA
Source: RNAcentral